This 253-nucleotide ribosomal RNA is filed under the name uncultured bacterium. RNAcentral's name for it is "partial 16S ribosomal RNA". It matches the Rfam family "Bacterial small subunit ribosomal RNA", at positions 524 to 776 of the family's 1533-position model. The record is from RNAcentral.
UACGGGGGGAGCAAGCGUUGUUCGGAUUUACUGGGCGUAAAGGGCGCGUAGGCGGCGUGGUAAGUCACUUGUGAAAUCUCUGAGCUUAACUCAGAACGGUCAAGUGAUACUGCUGUGCUAGAGUGCGGAAGGGGCAAUCGGAAUUCUUGGUGUAGCGGUGAAAUGCGUAGAUAUCAAGAGGAACACCUGAGGUGAAGACGGGUUGCUGGGCCGACACUGACGCUGAUGCGCGAAAGCCAGGGGAGCAAACGGG